AGCUUUGCACAGUGGCAGUAUCGUAGCCAAUGAGGUUUAUCCGGGGCGCGGUUAUUGCUAAUUGAAAACUUAUCUUCUAAUUAAUGUGUUUUACUCUUUACUUUCCUAAAGUAACCUGUAAAUAUUUCAUUUAAUUUGAAA
Small nuclear RNA from Leptonychotes weddellii (Weddell seal), 141 nucleotides. RefSeq annotates it as U4 spliceosomal RNA. Lineage: Eukaryota; Metazoa; Chordata; Mammalia; Carnivora; Phocidae. The record is from RefSeq and is a predicted model, not a curated record.